CCCAUACUUCAUACGUGGGACCCGGUGGGAGGUAAUUGAAUCACGGGGGCGGGUCUUUCCGGUGCUGUUCUUGCGAUAGUGAGUAAGUCUCACGAGAUCUGAUGGUUUUAUAAAGGGGGUUCCCCUGCACACUUGCACGCUCUUGCCGUGACUUUGCUCCUCGUUUGCCUUCCGCCAUGAUUGUGAGGCCUCCCCAGCCACGUGGAACUGUGAGUCCACUAAGCUUCUCCCCUUGAUAAAUUACCCAGCCUCGGGUAUGUCUUUAUUAGCAGCGUGAGAACAGACUAAUACAGAAGGGAAGAAGGCAAGAAUAUCUCUCCAGCAACCCAAUUAAAAAUCUCAGGACAGUUCAGGCCCCUGGAGGCUUUUACUUGAGUCAAAUCCUCAGGAAGGCCAGCACUGCUCCUGUAAAUCACUGUCUUCCUCCUGGGAUGGAAAGGGACCAGGAAGCCAGAGUGCCCAGCGUGCCAGGGUUUCACUGCCAGAUGUCUAGAAGGCCACAUCCAACCGAGAUGCCCAAUUCCAAAAACGUCCACAAGUCAGGAGGGGGCAAAAUUAGAGCCAGAAAUGAGUCUGGAGCUACAUGGACCUAGGAAGAAUAUUUAGAAGCCCUGCCCUCAUGAACUGGGAAGGAAGAAAAGACACCUUCCCCCACAACGCCACAGGAGCUAUCAAAUGUGCUCUUUUUAAAGUCAUUUCUAUUCUUUAAAAAAAUGCACCAUUGUGGUGCAGCCACUGUGAAAAGCAGCAUGGCGCUUCCUCAAACAAUUAAAAACAGAAUUACUCUGUGAUCUAACAAUUCCAAAAUGUGUACGGCCAUGUCCAUUUUAGCAUUAGUCACGAUACCCAAAAGGUGGAGGCAAGCCAGUGUCCACUGAAGCCUGAAGGGAUCAACAAAAUCUGGUAUAUACAUGCAAUGGAGUGUGGUUCCACCUAGAAAAGGAGGGAAAUUCUGGCACCUGCUACACAGGGGUGAACUCGAAGACAUUAUGCCAAGUGAAAUAAGCUGGUCACAAAAGGACAAAUACUGCGUGAUUCCAUUCAUAGGAGGUGCCUAGAGGAGUCAAGAUCACAGAGACAGAAAGAAUAGUGGUGUCAGCGACUGGGGAGUUAGCGUUUGAUGGGCACAGGGUUUGUUUUGCAAGAGGAAGAGGUUCUGGAGAUUGUUUGCACGGCACUGUGGAGCUGCUCAACCCUACUGAGUUGUACACUUAAAAGUGGUUAAGAUGGUACAUUUCACAUUAUGUGUAUUUUUACCACAAUUGAAUUAUUUUUUAAAUGCACCCAUUUUAAAUGGAUAAUUCCCUGUGCUUUGACAAAUAUAACACCACCAACUAAAACAGAGAUGUUCCUCUCACUCUACUAAGUUCCCUCAUGCCCUUUUGCAGUCUGUAUUAUUUCUAAACAUCCUAUUGGAUUAAAAUUUAAUUAAGUAGAAAUGAUAUCUCCAAUGCCCUGGGUCUGCUCCAAGCCUAAAAUCUCUGAGGCUACCAGGAGCCAUUUCACAUGCAGGUCCCCUUCUGCCCGGGGCCCACGGGCCUUUCCCGAGGUGUCUGUGGGGGUUUACAGGGGCAGGGAGGCACCAUAGGAAGGAUAUUUGCUUUGGCUUCUUCAAGUCUAAUGAACGCCAAGGUAUUGAAUGUAACAACAUUAAAGCUUCUCCUCCUCACACACAUACACGUGCACACACACAUGCACAUGUGUGCAUACACACGUGCGCGCAGACCCCCCACCCCCCAGCAGCUACCAGCCUCUUAGCUCAGUCUUCUAUGCACUAUAAAUUUGCCAAGCCAGAUUGCUCUUCUCAGCCACCCCUACACCUGGCACCUAUGCCCAACCGGGAAUCUGUCCCCUGGGGCUCUUCACCUAAACGAGGGCUGCCCUGGGAGAGUGGACUCAGACCAGCCCCCCAGGGCCUUGGCCCCCUGCUUUCAAAUCCCUUGACUUUUGCCCAUUAAGAUUUGUCAGUGAACAUCGUCCCCUGGUGGAAAAUCUAGGACAUAACAAAUAUGUAUCUGAGCUUCUGCGGUAUUUCCUAGAAUUUAUUCAUUCCAAAAUAUUUGCGAGGGAAAUAACUUUUCGGUGGAGAAAUCCAGAAGACGCAGCCUUAACCAAGGGUUCAAGGUUAAUGUCAUCUGUAAGAUGAUACGAUGACAUCUCGAACCCUCCCAACACUAAUGCAUUGGGAAGGACGUUGUCACUUCCAUGGUGUUCUUGUCCCAAGAUGCAUAACCACAAUUUCACCACUAGAAAAUAUCAGACUAACCCAAGUUGAGAGACCAAAUAACUACAAAAUAACUGACCAGUCGGUUUUGGGCUGUUCACCCAAACGAGAGCUCAAACAAGAACAGUUCUGUCAAAGUCACAAAGCAAUAAGGAAAGACGGAGGAUUGGUCACAGAUCAGAGGAGACGAAGGAGACGUGAUGAGUGAACGCCAUGUGGGGUCCCAGAUUGGACCCUGGAUCAGGAAAACGACCUCAUGGGAAAACGUGCAAUCUGAGCAAAGGCUGAGGUCGAGUUUACGGUGAUGCACAAAUGUCCAUUUCUUAGUCCUCAUUCUUGUCCUGUGACGAUGCAAGAUGUCAACACCAGGGGGAGACGAGUGAAGGGUAUACAGGAAUCUCUGUGCUGCCUUUGUAACUUUUCUGUAAGUGCAAAAUUAUUUCAAAAUAAAAC
This 2677-nucleotide long non-coding RNA is filed under the name Homo sapiens (human). RNAcentral describes it as "HSALNT0195480". The record is from RNAcentral. Lineage: Eukaryota; Metazoa; Chordata; Mammalia; Primates; Hominidae.